CACCUACUGCUUUUUUUGAUCGGUUUUAAUUCUGAUUCCGACAACUAUCAGAUUCCACACACCCCUGAUUGUCUUUCAUAUGUUGUUAAAGUGUAGAAUUUAAAUAUAAGGACAUCAUCUUUAUAUAUUUCCGUGUGCACAUUUUCCAAUGGAAGGUCUAAGUAUACAUCUACACAUCUCGGGAAAAUUGAGGGAGCAUUCUUAAGACCAAAUGGUAAACGACGCCAUUCGUAUUUCGCACUAUUAAUUGAAAAUGCUGUUUUUCCCUAUCUUAUUUCCUAAUCCUGACCUAAUGAAAUCUGGAUUUCAUCUUUCUCAAGAAAAUCAAAAUCUUUCAUUUUGUCAAUCUCCAAGGCUUUUAAUUUAAAUCCUUUUGUCGCUGGUGCCUUACGUUGGGCGCCAGUUAAAUAUUCUAUAUAUUUUGAGAAUAAAAAACUAUUUUUAUUUAGUUUACUUAGAAGUGAACUUUCUUUUUUUACUAUGUUCCUUUUUUGAUACAAUGUUUACAAACAUAAAUAUUAGUUAAGUACAGUAUAGUCCGCAUAUAAGAAACUUUGAAAAUGCCACUAAUAUUUUUCUUAUAUCCCGUUGUUCUUUUAGCCGGAGUCCGUAUAUAAGAAAUAGUUUCUUAUAUGCGGAUAUCUUACAAAUUUCAUGCACAAACUUCUUAUAACCGUACAUCGCGUUAUGUUGCACGAAAACAAAUCUUUUAUUUGAUUUCAUUUAUUCCAUUCAAUAUUUUAAUAAAAAAAAAACAAUAAACAUUAACGAAAAUUAACAAAACUUUAAAUUCAUAGAAAAUGCAUAUUAUAUGUAUAGGAUCUUAAAAAGUCGGCACUUUGCGACAUUUACUUUUUAUAAUAACUAUUGCAUGUUUUGUUUAUGUACCUAUAAAUUUAUAAUUUUUUUUGACGUUGAAAAGAUAUCAUUUAUUUUUAUUUUUUUGUCACGUUCAUUAAAGAGAAUUUUCUCAAUAUUUACUAAGUUAUCAUCAUCACUUAAAUAUUGCUUCAAUACAAACAAGGCUUCUCUGCUAGGUGGCACUGCAUUAUCUGCAGAGUCUUCUAUAACAUCUCCACUCUCAUCUUCUAGUAUUUCGUCUAUUAUAUCAUUUAUUUAUUAUAUUUUCGCUUAUAACCCCAAAACAGUUCUCCUUUUCCAAAUCAGCUAAAUUUUCGAAAAAGGAGUUAUUGGCUUGAAUCUCGCAAAAAUCAUCAUUUGAGGCACGGCUUUCGAUUUCACAAUAAAUAUUGUCUGAGGUAUUAUAAUGAUUUGAGUCCAUUACACCUUUUGCUGCUUGUAUCUGUACGCGAUAAAAAAGAUAAUAAAAUUCAAUGUCAAAUUGCAAAAGACGUUAAUAAAAGCAUCGCUCGAUAAUUUUCACGGAGCAGUAAAGCAGAAUAAUUGUACGAAAGGCACAGAAAAUCACCAGAAGGAAGAAAUAGAAACUGGCAAGACUUCUAAUCCCCAAACCAUUCGUCGUGAUUUCCAUAAUCGGAACAUCCGUAAAAAGCCAUUUGUAAAUAAUACUAACAGAACGAAAAGACUUGAAUUUGUAAAACUGCACGAGACCUAGACCGUUAUAUUCUCCGACGAGAGUAUAUUCAAUGUUUUUGGGUCCGAAGGACGUGAAAAGUAUGGAGAAAAGCAAAUUCAGAGCUCGAUAUUCAAAACAUUACCGGCAGAGUUAAAUAUGGUGGUGGCUCAAUAAUGGUGUAGGGCUGUAUGGCGGCUUCUGGUAUAGGAAAGCUGUUUCUGAUUGAAAGGAUAAUGGAUAAAUCUGUUUAUCUCAWCAUUUUAAAGGAUAAUUUAAAGCAAAGAGUAUUAAAAUUGAGCGAUCAUUUAUCUUCCAACAUUACAAUGACAAUAAGCAUGCAGCUCUAGUUGUCAAGGAAUAGCUGCUGUAUAACACACCAAGGCAACCGGCAGAUUUUAAUGUUAUUGAACACUUGUGGGAACAUCUCGAUAGACAAAUAAGGAAACAUGAAAUAAAAGGCAAAGAUGACUUAAAGAAAGCACUUAUGGAGUAAUGGUGAUAGAUUCCAAUUUCUCUAUGCCAUCGCGGUUAACCCUUAUGUUAGUAACCAACUUUAUCGACGUCUUUUUGCAACCGGUUACCGGGGUACCCACGAUCUGAUCGGUGACAAUUUAAAGAAAAAAAAYAACAACGUAGAAUCGUGAAUGGCAUCUGAAAUCUAUUUGUUCGGAGCCGAGCAGACGCCGUUCGUGAGAGAAAACUCAAGGUAAUUCACGAGCCAGAAGAUUCUAAAGAGACACAAGAAAAGACUGAAGAGAAUUCAGCAGUGGAAGAAGAAGUUGAGAGUAGCGAGAGUGAGGAUGACGACAAUAGAGUAGAAACAGCUAAGCCUGAAGGAAGAACUCAAGAACCAUCUGGGAGUUUUAUUCCCAAAGAUAAAACAGUGUGGAACCAAACUCCACCAACUCAACAUCAGACCGCAGCUCAUAAUGUUGUACGCCAGCGGAGUUGACCUCAUCGCAGUACGGAAAUGUUGUCGUGUAAUCGUUCGUCACACAAAAAAAAAGCUGAAACAAUUUUCCAAGAGUUCAAUGCUCACCAUCCAAACUCACAGCAUCAAUGGAAGCCCGUUACGAUACCCGAAAUUUAUUCGUUCUUCGGUAUCUUGAUUUGGGCUGCAGCAAACAAUUCGAACACAGAUCAUACAUUUGACAUGUGGCACUCAAAUUCUUAUUCGCUGUAUCACGCGAUGAUGGGAUUGACGAGAUUCCAUAAUAUUUUGCGUUUUUUUGCGAUUCGACGAUAAUACUCGAAGCGAACGUAAAAAAGAAGACAAGACAGCUCCAAUUCGUGAUGUGUGGACAAUGUUAAAUCUAAAUUUAGCUCAGAUGUACAACCCAACAGCUAACUUAACGAUUGAUGAACAGCUUUAUUCAUACCAUGGUUGUACUGGAUUUACUCAAUAUAUUCCAUCGAAACCAGCUAAGUAUGGUAUAAAGAUCUGGUGGAUUUGUGAUGCAGAAAAUGCAUAUCCUUUGCAAGGGAUCAUGUGCACUGGUAAAACAAUUAAUACUCGAGGAAAAAAAUCAGAGUGAAAGAGUAGCUAAAGAAUUGGCGGCUCCGUGCCGAGGYAGUGGUAGAAACAUCUGCAUGGAUAACUUUUUUACUACUGUACCAGUUGCUAAACAUUUGUUGUCGUGGAAUAUUACCAUUGUUGUGACAAAGAAUGCCGUUGAAAGUGUAUUCGGCCAUACACUGACAGAAACAGUCGUGAUAAAUCCUGGUCCAGAGACUGCAAAAGAUAAAACCGGUAGGAACAAAGUACCAGGAUCUUGUCAUUCCCGCAAUGCUUUACCAAUAAGAAGACGGCGAAAGACACGGAAGGCCUGUGCCAAUUCUCACCAACCUUUUUGUGACGAGACCUCAGUUAAUCGUGUACAAUGUGUUCAAUGUCAUUAAUUAUAAAAAAAAAGUGUAAUAUUUCUUUAUUUUUUUUUUUUAAUAAAAUUUAGUUGCAUGCAUUAACAGAAAUUAUAUACAAUUUAUUUCCUAAGCUUUCCACCCGGGUACCCGGUUGCUAAUCGGGCGAAGGCUAGAGUUUUAGCUUAUUAAAAAAACAUAAAUAAAUAAAUAAAUCAAUUAAAUGAACUCACAAAAGGUUUUCUUUUAAGUUAAAACCGUUGAUUUGAGAGCUUAAAAUGAAAUAUUAAAUUUUUUUUAAGCUAUUCACACAAUAAGGGUUAAAAUCUGUCAAAACGAGUAAAGGCUAUCCACCGAAAUAUUAACAGUUCAUCAUAAUUAAAAAAAAUUUCAUGAAUUCGGUUUUUGAUUG
Bactrocera latifrons is the source of this 3809-nucleotide long non-coding RNA. RefSeq lists it as uncharacterized. NCBI's taxonomy places the organism in Eukaryota, Metazoa, Arthropoda, Insecta, Diptera, Tephritidae. The record is from RefSeq and is a predicted model, not a curated record. The transcript has 3 exons.